AUGGGAAAUAUUAUGUUGACUUGUCCAGGUUUCUUGAAUGGGAAUACCUCUUUGUUUGGCUUUUCUUCAACUAGUCUAAAACGUUUCACUCCAUGUUGGUUCAAAACACUGUGGUGCAUUCUUAGCAGUGCACUGCUGCUCGCUACUGCUCCGAGAGCUGUCGUUUGGCCUGCCCGUUCUCUUCUGCCGGACGUCCUGAGGGCCUUGGACUUCUGACACUGCAUUAUAGAUCUCCCUGAGACCAAACUGUACCAUGGGACACCUCUGUGUGCGCUGUGGGAAUUGUCUUCCAGCCAGAAAGACUGACCCAGAAGUGAGAACAGGGUUAUCAGGCUGCCAAGCUGCAGUGUCUAUGAAGCAACACAACAUUGUGGGAAUAAAAGCAGUUCAAUAGUGUACUGACUCA
RNAcentral lists this long non-coding RNA (406 nucleotides) under Apteryx owenii (little spotted kiwi). RNAcentral describes it as "lncRNA (ENSAOWG00000006218.1)". The record is from RNAcentral. Lineage: Eukaryota; Metazoa; Chordata; Aves; Apterygiformes; Apterygidae.